This 495-nucleotide ribosomal RNA is filed under the name uncultured bacterium. RNAcentral's name for it is "bacterial SSU rRNA". It matches the Rfam family "Bacterial small subunit ribosomal RNA", at positions 30 to 511 of the family's 1533-position model. The record is from RNAcentral.
AUUGAACGCCGGCGGCAUGCUUUACACAUGCAAGUCGAACGGUAACAGGCCUUCGGGCGCUGACGAGUGGCGAACGGGUGAGUAAUGCAUCGGAACGUGCCCAGAGGUGGGGGAUAACGCAGCGAAAGCUGUGCUAAUACCGCAUAUUAUCUGAGGAUGAAAGCGGGGGACUAAGUAGCAAUGUUUGGCCUCGCGCCUUUGGAGCGGCCGAUGUCAGAUUAGGUAGUUGGUGGGGUAAAGGCCUACCAAGCCGACGAUCUGUAGCUGGUCUGAGAGGACGACCAGCCACACUGGGACUGAGACACGGCCCAGACUCCUACGGGAGGCAGCAGUGGGGAAUUUUGGACAAUGGGCGCAAGCCUGAUCCAGCAAUGCCGCGUGCAGGAAGAAGGCCUUCGGUUGUAAACUGCUUUUGUACGGAACGAAAAGGCUCUGGUUAAUACCUGGGCGUCAUGACGGUACCGUAAGAAUAAGCACCGGCUAACUACGUGCCAG